CCUACGGGUGGCAGCAGUGGGGAAUAUUGGGCAAUGGACGCAAGUCUGACCCAGCAACGCCGCGUGAAGGAAGAAGGCUUUCGGGUUGUAAACUUCUUUUAAGGGGGAAGAGCAGAAGACGGUACCCCUUGAAUAAGCCAUGUCUAACUACGUGCCAGCAGCCGCGGUAAUACGCAGGUGGCAAGCGUUGUCCGGAUUUACUGGGUGUAAAGGGCGUGCAGCCGGAGAGGCAAGUCAGAUGUGAAAUCCGCGGGCUCAACUCGCGAACUGCAUUUGAAACUGCUUGCCUUGAGUAUAGGAGAGGUAGUCGGAAUUCCUGGUGUAGCGGUGAAAUGCGUAGAGAUUAGGAAGAACACCAGUGGCGAAGGCAGAUUACUGGGCGACAACUGACGGUGAGGCGCGAAAGCGUGGGGAGCAAACAGGAUUAGAUACCCGAGUAGUC
RNAcentral lists this ribosomal RNA (442 nucleotides) under uncultured bacterium. RNAcentral's name for it is "partial 16S ribosomal RNA". It matches the Rfam family "Bacterial small subunit ribosomal RNA", at positions 338 to 795 of the family's 1533-position model. The record is from RNAcentral.